This 495-nucleotide ribosomal RNA is filed under the name uncultured bacterium. RNAcentral's name for it is "partial 16S ribosomal RNA". It matches the Rfam family "Bacterial small subunit ribosomal RNA", at positions 28 to 505 of the family's 1533-position model. The record is from RNAcentral.
GAUGAACGCUGGCGGCGUGCCUAAUACAUGCAAGUCGAGCGAACAGACGAGGAGCUUGCUCCUCUGACGUUAGCGGCGGACGGGUGAGUAACACGUGGAUAACCUACCUAUAAGACUGGGAUAACUUCGGGAAACCGGAGCUAAUACCGGAUAAUAUAUUGAACCGCAUGGUUCAAUAGUGAAAGACGGUUUUGCUGUCACUUAUAGAUGGAUCCGCGCCGCAUUAGCUAGUUGGUAAGGUAACGGCUUACCAAGGCAACGAUGCGUAGCCGACCUGAGAGGGUGAUCGGCCACACUGGAACUGAGACACGGUCCAGACUCCUACGGGAGGCAGCAGUAGGGAAUCGUCCGCAAUGGGCGAAAGCUUGACGGAGCAACGCCGCGUGAGUGAUGAAGGUCUUCGGAUCGUAAAACUCUGUUAUUAGGGAAGAACAAAUGUGUAAGUAACUAGGCACGUCUUGACGGUACCUAAUCAGAAAGCCACGGCUAACUACG